RNAcentral lists this ribosomal RNA (468 nucleotides) under uncultured bacterium. RNAcentral describes it as "partial 16S ribosomal RNA". It matches the Rfam family "Bacterial small subunit ribosomal RNA", at positions 28 to 507 of the family's 1533-position model. The record is from RNAcentral.
GACGAACGCUGGCGGCGUGCUUAACACAUGCAAGUCGAACGGAAAGGCCCUGCUUUUGUGGGGUGCUCGAGUGGCGAACGGGUGAGUAACACGUGAGUAACCUGCCCUUGACUUUGGGAUAACUUCAGGAAACUGGGGCUAAUACCGGAUAGGAGCUCCUGCUGCAUGGUGGGGGUUGGAAAGUUUCGGCGGUUGGGGAUGGACUCGCGGCUUAUCAGCUUGUUGGUGGGGUAGUGGCAUACCAAGGCUUUGACGGGUAGCCGGCCUGAGAGGGUGACCGGCCACAAUGGGACUGAGAUACGGCCCAGACUCCUACGGGAGGCAGCAGUGGGGAAUAUUGCACAAUGGGCGGAAGCCUGAUGCAGCAACGCCGCGUGCGGGAUGACGGCCUUCGGGUUGUAAACCGCUUUCGCCUGUGACGAAGCGUGAGUGACGGUAAUGGGUAAAGAAGCAACGGCUAACUACGUG